AUGAUGGCCAUGCCGUCGGCACCGUUGUACGGCUAUGGCGCCCCCGGCGGCCCGCCGCCUGGCUAUGGCUACUCUGCUGCCCCCGGCGGCCCGCCGCCUAGCUACGGCUACUCUGCUGCCCCGCCUCCUCAACAGCAGCAGCCCUGGGACAUGGCGUCGCUCCAGGCUGCACUGCACGGUGCUACGACCAGACCAUCAUCGUCGGACAGCGCAUCCGACUGGUACCUCGACUCCGGCGCCGCCGCACAUAUGGCCUCCAACCCGGGUAUUCUCUCCUCCCUUCGUCCUUCCUCCACAUAA
RNAcentral lists this ribosomal RNA (300 nucleotides) under Triticum aestivum (bread wheat). Its description in RNAcentral is "partial small subunit ribosomal RNA". The record is from RNAcentral. Lineage: Eukaryota; Viridiplantae; Streptophyta; Magnoliopsida; Poales; Poaceae.